RNAcentral lists this ribosomal RNA (253 nucleotides) under uncultured bacterium. Its description in RNAcentral is "partial 16S ribosomal RNA". It matches the Rfam family "Bacterial small subunit ribosomal RNA", at positions 524 to 776 of the family's 1533-position model. The record is from RNAcentral.
GACAGAGGUGCCGAGCGUUAGGCGGAAUCACUGGGCUUAAAGCGUGUGUAGGCGGAUCUGUAAGUACCUUGUGAAAUCCCACGGCUCAACCGUGGAACUGCUUGGUAUACUGCGGGUCUUGAGCCACCUAGGGGCAAGUGGAACAAACGGUGGAGCGGUGAAAUGCGUAGAUAUCGUUUGGAACGCCAAUGGUGAAAACAACCUGCUGGGGGUGUGCUGACGCUGAGACACGAAAGCCAGGGGAGCAAACGGG